Magnolia sinica is the source of this 108-nucleotide small nucleolar RNA. The record is from RefSeq and is a predicted model, not a curated record. Lineage: Eukaryota; Viridiplantae; Streptophyta; Magnoliopsida; Magnoliales; Magnoliaceae.
AAACCAUGUUGUGGACAUGAACUGACAAAGAUCCUUGAACUGCUCCCAACAUUGAAAGAAUGUUCCAUCUUCCUUUUGGGCAAAGUUCAUGAUUGACUUUCUAAGAGU